UGUUUGUUGUCAAAUAACAGCUGAUAUUUUAUCGAGUUAGCAGUGAUCUUGGUGCUGGGGAACUCUUCCUUGGGACCCCUUACCUUCCUUACUCCUGCCUUGGAAAGCUCUCACCAGAAGUACUGUACCUUCUGUAAGUAAUAGGUCUCCAACAAAAUUAGUACUGACAGAUGUUCUUUGAAAUUUGGGGGAAGGGUCUUCAUUUUCUGGAGAAAUCAAAAUGUUCAAGUUGUUCACUCCGAGCUGCGGGCUGGAUUCUUGUAUCUGCAGUGUGGAAUUCUCUCUCUUACAUAUUCUAAACAAAGCCCUGCUGUCAGAUGCUCCGCCGAUGCUUCUGGGAACUCUCCCUGCAAAAUGAGUCAGAAUUCACCACUCAGAUUGCUUCUCAAGAGCAAGGAGAUGGGUUUGGUGGCUUGGCAGUAAUUGCUCUUUUGUCCUUCGGCUCCAGGAAUUCGCAGCGACAGGAGACAAGGCACUGAGCCAUGAAACAGAAUCAUUAGUCAAAUAUGAGUGGGAGAGAGGUUUUUGCUUUGGAUACCAGAGUAAGUGGCUUAUCUCUCUGCACUACACACCUUCUACUCUCCCAGUAUCGAAACUGAGUUUUAAAUAUACAUAACGGAUUUCUUCCCAGAGCACCGUGCCCCAGAUAUGACGGUGAAUUAUUUACUGAGCGGCUUAAAUCUAAAAGUUACUUUGUAGGGGACAGUUUCCUGCCCAGAAACCUGGAUAAAACUCUUUUCAGUAGACAGCCUGGUUAUCUAGUUCCAGCAUCCUAACUGGAAGCAUGCUGGCCACAAAUUAGUGGAAGGAAUUUUGUAGGAGAAAAUAAAAUCCACGUUACAUAUUCUGCCACCAAGAAAUCCCAGGAACAGUAUGUUUCUGCAAGAUCUUUGAUGGCGUCUGGAGGGAUUCCAUCUUGAGACAUUCUACUGGCGGAGGCCUUCCCAGCAAAGCCUGCUGCCCACUCUCUCCUCCCACUCAUGCAAGAAGCCUGUUGCUCUUUUGCUGUCCUCUGCUCUCCACGGGUAUCUUAGAAGGCAAGGGCUUUGGCACAGAUGUCCACUUCACUUUGGAUCCAUUGUCUUACUCAUCCAUCCGGGCACUCAUAGUCUCGCUGCAGUUCCAGACAUUAGCAGGCAGGGUUUUGUCUGCUGGGGAUGGAAAGAGGAAAGUGGAGAUGACCUGACUUGUCCGCUCAAGUGCCGCGCUAUUUGGAUGAGGAGCACUGCCGGUGUGCUGAGUUAGUGCCUUGGGAGACACUGCAGAUGGGAUUCCUAUUCUUCACUUACUAGCGUAUCUACCAUGUCAGGAUUGAUGUAGGUGACAGGGAGACCUUCCAGAUGGUGGAGCCACAGGAGGUAAGGACGUGGCCUUCAAACUGGAACACCUGCCCUGCACAAUUAUGGGAAAAAUAAACAACUUUGAGGAAUCUCCAGCUUCUUUUGUUGUAAAGAGAAGUGGUUAAGAAGAAUACCAGAAAUAAAAGAAUUGGUUUAUAGGCAAAUCUGUGGAAAAUUAGCCAGUUGAAUUCAGAAGCAUCUGAUCCUUUUAUGGGAUUUCUGGUUCUUAUACACAAAAAGACUCAAUAAGCUCAUUAAGGUUAUUCUAAAAAAAAAUUUUUUUUAAAGAUUUUGUUGAUAUAUUUGAGAGAGCAAGCAUGAGCAGGGGAGAGGGGCAGAAUGAGAGAGACAAGCAUACUCCCCAUUGAGUGCAGAAUCCAAUGCAGGGCAAUCCCCAGGCCCUGAGAUCAUGACCUGAGCAGAAGUCAGAUGCUUAAUUUUAACAACUGAGCCACCCAGGUGCCCCUAGGUUGUUCCAGUAUUUGAAGGAGGAAAGAAUAAAAGUUUGGACGACUAGAAAAUCUCUAAAUGUAUGUUAAAAAGUUUAACUCAGAGCUGUUCCCUAUCCAUUUACUUUCAAACACCACCUUAAAAUUGUUUUAAUCCCAUUAUUGUUGAAUGGUCAGGGAAUUCAAGACAAAUGUGCAUUCAGAACAUUAUUAACUUAAAUGUGUAAUUAGCAGAAAUUAUACAUUUGAAAUAAUGUUGCUAUUGUUCUACUAAAUCUGUCAUUUAAAAGUA
Long non-coding RNA from Mustela erminea (ermine), 2081 nucleotides. RefSeq lists it as uncharacterized. Lineage: Eukaryota; Metazoa; Chordata; Mammalia; Carnivora; Mustelidae. The transcript is spliced from 3 exons. The record is from RefSeq and is a predicted model, not a curated record.